Long non-coding RNA from Erinaceus europaeus (western European hedgehog), 409 nucleotides. RefSeq lists it as uncharacterized. The record is from RefSeq and is a predicted model, not a curated record. Lineage: Eukaryota; Metazoa; Chordata; Mammalia; Eulipotyphla; Erinaceidae. The transcript is spliced from 2 exons.
CCAUUCAGGUUCAAAUCCUGGUUCUGGCAUCUUCUUUGUGACAGGUGUCCUUGGCUUCAUUUUAGGACCCUGCACAUUUAUUUUCCUUAUUUCCCUGGUGAUCCGUCACUGCAGAAAGAAAGAAAAGUGCAAAGGUUGGUUCUCACAUUCUUCAAGCAAAGAUCCAGGAAAGAAGAAACUCCUGAGUGAAGAAGAUGAGCUGGGAAGUGAGGAUGCUGAAUUUGGAGAAAGUGGAAUGUGAUUUGAAGAAGAAAUAGAUGUCUGUAUUCAAAAAUUUCCCACAUUUUGGUCCAGAUUAGAGGCUGAGAAAACAGUACUGUCUACAUCCAGAUAAAAUAAUGCUGUCUUAACAUUCCAUUUUUAUGUGGAUGAUCCAGAAAUAAAUACCUGGUCAUUUUUAAUUAUACAA